This 226-nucleotide long non-coding RNA is filed under the name Lathyrus oleraceus (garden pea). RNAcentral's name for it is "Pisum sativum (pea) long non-coding RNA (PSAT_LNC025106)". Lineage: Eukaryota; Viridiplantae; Streptophyta; Magnoliopsida; Fabales; Fabaceae. The record is from RNAcentral.
UUAAUUAUUUAAAAAUACUUCUGACUUUUUAAAAAUAGUGAAAUUUUUGUCUAACGUCCUUUGACCUUGUUUGACCUAGGAUAAAUCCCUUGGCCAUUUAUUUGGUGUUUUGAAGGGAUUUUAGGUUUUGACCAAAUUAAAAUUUAUUUUAAUACAUUUUUAAAUUGAUUAAAUGUUUAAAAAUAUUGUUGAGCCAUUUUUAUGGUCUUAUGAUGUUUAACUUUCU